Panthera uncia (snow leopard) is the source of this 1758-nucleotide long non-coding RNA. RefSeq lists it as uncharacterized. The record is from RefSeq and is a predicted model, not a curated record. The transcript has 2 exons. NCBI's taxonomy places the organism in Eukaryota, Metazoa, Chordata, Mammalia, Carnivora, Felidae.
AACGGGAGGCAGUAUGUUGGCUAGCAAGACCUUCUGUUCCGCGGGAGUCUGCACCCUUUCGUGGUGGGGUUGGUGGGCAGGGAGCCCCGGAGAGGCGGACGCCGAUUCGCUCUCCGCUGGGGCUGCGGCGGGUGGUCUGGCCUCAAGGGGAAGGGGGCCUUCUGUUCUGUUUGCCUCCAAGGCUCCUACCCGACUGUUAGCUCUGUUGGCUCGGAGACCAGGCCAAACAGACUCCAAAAAGAGCAGCACCUGUCCCCACAGAGGAAUUAGGGCCUCGCCUCACCUGAUGAUCAUAAAAUACCCAGCGGGACAGCCAGCUCAAUUCUCUGGAUGGAACGGUGUUGUGGAGAGUGGCUAACUGACCAGGAGAUGAGGACAGAGCCCCCUCACCUCCCCCCCCCCCCCCGCAGCCUUGGUGGCCAUCACCCCUGCCCCCCUCCCUCGAGAAUCCUGGUGCCUUCUCAGAGCCAGAGACGGUUUCACAGAAGACGCUGAAGUGGACGGAAACCCCCUUGGGGGGCAGCGGAAGCCACCCUGACAGUUGGCAGAAGGCCAAGGUGGUUUGUUGUCUGGUGGGGCGGGGCGGGGGGGGCGUCAGAGAAACACGGGGCGCCAGGCAGAUGUUUGGAUAAGACCCGUUGGCAGCGUGGAUGGAAUCUGAUUUCCGGUUGGAGCAGAUGUUCAGGAACGCAUGGACCCUGAAAAGCACACCCAGGAAGUCGGGGGCCAAGUCAGCAUUGACCAAGCGGCCCAUCCGCGUCCGUUGGCUCUGAAGCCUUUGUCACCAUCCGCUCGGAACUAGAAUGCUCUUUAUCUUCUCCCAGCCACGGACAGAGGGGUUCUGAACCGGUGGUUCUCAAAGUGGGGUUCCCAGACCAGCAGCAUCAGCUUCCCCUGGAAAUUUAGGAGACGUGCAGACCUGUCCCAUAAUCCUGAAUGUCCUCUAGGUGACUGAUGCCCACCGAGGCUCAAGACCUGCUACAGUAGCUUAAAGAAAGGGGGAAGAGCAACAGACAUCUCUUGAGUGCCUACUGUUUUCCCUCUGCUUCACCUGUGUUGUCCUGUUGAGGCCAUACAGUGUCGCAGAGGGGUGGGGAUUAUAUCGCCCUUUCACAGACAAGAAAGCUGACCAUCAGUUGAAAUAACUUCCCUGUGUGUCCAAGCCAGAAUUCAGACCCAGGGCUGAGCCUCCUUCUGUGACCUCUGCACCCUGUUGCUGGGUUCCUCUUGGCCCAAAAUCAAGCGUAGACAGCUGAACGUAUCUGUAACUUUUGGAUCACUCUCCCAGCAUCUCCUCCGCGUGUGCAGAUAACUGAGAGUCACCAUGAUGAACUUAGAACUGGAUAAAGUUCUAAGACAAACACCGGAGCCCUCUCCCCCACCCCGGGUUGAGAUGCUACCAGCUUGAGGCCGAGCAAGGGAAGUCCUUAUUUGGGAUAGAGACUUCCCUUUAUCAGGCCCUGAGGAAACAGGGCCCCGUGCUGUCCCUGCAUAUCAGGGAGCAAACCUCACUAGGGCCCGGCCCCUCCCACAUGGCAGAGAAAGAGAGCGGCUUCUGUUUCUUUUGAAUGAAAUAAAUGCACGAUACACGGAUAAGGCUUCCUGUGACAAUUUGAAAAUUUACGGAUAAAGCUGAAGCCCAUCCUCCCCCCUUGGUUUUCCCUCAAGCCACUUCCCUCUGCAGGAAGACAGCUUUCAUCAGCCUGACACUGUGGCCCCCCCUCCCCCCGCCGCUACGAGUUGGAUCCUGUUUGCGGA